UUUAGUUGGUGUAAAGUCACACAAUCUUUUCGUGAUUGAGGGGUAUUAAAG
This 51-nucleotide transfer RNA is filed under the name Pomphorhynchus laevis. RNAcentral's name for it is "tRNA-Glu". Lineage: Eukaryota; Metazoa; Acanthocephala; Palaeacanthocephala; Echinorhynchida; Pomphorhynchidae. The record is from RNAcentral. RNAcentral also lists the same sequence under 1 other name.